GAUGAGGUGGUCUAGCGGUUAGAACGCUGGCCUUGUAAUCCUGGGGGCUCGGGUUCGAUUCCUGUUCAUAUGG
This is a non-coding RNA of Zootermopsis nevadensis, 73 nucleotides long. The record is from Rfam. Lineage: Eukaryota; Metazoa; Arthropoda; Insecta; Blattodea; Termopsidae.